CUAGGCAACCGGCCUCCGCGGUCAGGGGACCGCUCUGUGGUUGGAAGGGCCCCGCCAGUUUCUUAAAAUAUCAGACCUCAGAGCACAUUUAGUCCCAGAGAAGAGGGGAGAAUCCAGCCAGCUUCAGCCCGGCGGAUGAGGGCCCGUUAUUGUUGUGAUUUCCACGGCACUUGCCAAAUGUGCUGUGUUAUCCUUGAGGAUGAAAUGAUUUCACGAGCUCAGGAAACCCCGGUCAGUCCAAGUCAGGGAAAUGAUGUCAAAGCCCGUUACAGCCAGAGAGCAGGACAAAGAGAAACUUUGGAAGCAGCUGCCCAGAAGCGACACGGCACUCGGGGGAGCGAUAAUUUGGGUAAAUGCUCGCUUCUCGUGAGACAUGAACAGAGCCGGAGGCAGCGGGAGAUAUUUUUAAUGUACUAAAAGGAAAAAAAAAAUCCUAUAAACAGAAAAACUAUUCUUCGAGAAUGAAAGUGAAAGACAUUUUCAGA
Felis catus (domestic cat) is the source of this 485-nucleotide long non-coding RNA. RefSeq lists it as uncharacterized. The transcript is spliced from 3 exons. NCBI's taxonomy places the organism in Eukaryota, Metazoa, Chordata, Mammalia, Carnivora, Felidae. The record is from RefSeq and is a predicted model, not a curated record.